This is a long non-coding RNA of Ctenocephalides felis (cat flea), 442 nucleotides long. RefSeq lists it as uncharacterized. The record is from RefSeq and is a predicted model, not a curated record. The transcript has 3 exons. NCBI's taxonomy places the organism in Eukaryota, Metazoa, Arthropoda, Insecta, Siphonaptera, Pulicidae.
GUAUUUUAUCGUGUAUGCUUGAAAUGCAAGAUAUUUCCUUUAUUGAAGCGUUAUUUAUUAAUUGCUUUUAUAUUUAGUGCGAAAUCAGUUGUAGAAAUUAGUUAAACAGUCAGCUGGAAAAGUAUUUAAUAUGAAACCGGCAAACAAGUCAUUUGCAGUAUAUAGGCCGCCUUCAAUGCAAAGUCUGUUCAUGUAUUGUGAUAAUUGAUUUAUCAUGUAAUAAUUGAAAUUUCUAACACACCAGUCAGAAACAUAACCUCAAUUCAGUGAUAUAUGAAUAAAGAGAAAGAAAAUUACAGUGCUGAUAACCCCUACGAAAAUGGAUUUCAAACUAGGGAAAUUUUCUCCAAUAGAGAAGAUAAAUACAAAGUUAGAUAAUAUAUUAGAAAUUAUUAAUCCUUUGUCACCAAAAAAAAACAAGCAAGGCUUGAAAACAUGCAAG